AUCUAUGGCCAUGCCACGCUGAACGCGCCCAAUCUCGUCUGAUCUCGGAAGCUAAGCAGCGUCGGGCCUGAUUAGUACUUGGAUGGGAGACUACUUAGGAAUAACAGAUGCUGCAGGUG
RNAcentral lists this ribosomal RNA (119 nucleotides) under Pteropus alecto (black flying fox). Lineage: Eukaryota; Metazoa; Chordata; Mammalia; Chiroptera; Pteropodidae. The record is from RNAcentral.